AAAAACAUGUCUAUUUGAGGAUAUAUGUAGUCUAGCCUGCUCACUGACAUAAAUGUUAAAUAGCCGCGGUAUCUUGACCGUGCAAAGGUAGCAUAAUCAUUAGUUUUUUAAUUGGAAACUCGUAUGAAUGGUUGGACAAAGAAAAAUCUGUCUCUUUUAUUAAAAUUGAAUUUGACUUUUAAGUGAAAAGGCUUAAAUUUUCUAGAGGGACGAUAAGACCCUAUAAAGCUUUAUAAAUUCGAUAAUUUUGCAAAUUUGUACAAAUAAAAGUAAUUUUGAAAAAUUUAUUUGGUUGGGGCGACAAAAGUAUAAUUAAAAUAACUGCUAGAAUUUCAAACAAUAAUUUUUGAUUUAGGUUUGUAAAUGAUCCCUUAUAAGGAUUAAAAGAUCAAGUUACUUUAGGGAUAACAGCGUAAUCUUUUUUGAGAGUGCUUAUCAAAAAAAAGGUUUGCGACCUCGAUGUUGAAUUAAAAUGUCUUUACGGUGCAGCAGCUGUAUAAGAAGGUCUGUUCGACCUUUAAUUUUUUACGUGAUU
Molecule: ribosomal RNA, 535 nt
Filed under: Lupocycloporus gracilimanus
Lineage: Eukaryota; Metazoa; Arthropoda; Malacostraca; Decapoda; Portunidae
Description: Portunus gracilimanus partial 16S ribosomal RNA
Rfam family: Bacterial large subunit ribosomal RNA
Source: RNAcentral